RNAcentral lists this ribosomal RNA (229 nucleotides) under uncultured bacterium. Its description in RNAcentral is "partial 16S ribosomal RNA". It matches the Rfam family "Bacterial small subunit ribosomal RNA", at positions 568 to 796 of the family's 1533-position model. The record is from RNAcentral.
UGCGCAGGCGGACUAUUAAGUCAGUGGUGAAAUCUCUCGGCUCAACCGAGAAACUGCCAUUGAAACUGAUAGCCUUGAGUAUGGUUGUGGUAGGCGGAAUAUAGCAUGUAGCGGUGAAAUGCUUAGAUAUGCUAUAGAACACCGAUCGCGAAGGCAGCUUACCAAACCAUUACUGACGCUCAUGCACGAAAGCGUGGAGAGCAAACAGGAUUAGAUACCCUGGUAGUCC